RNAcentral lists this ribosomal RNA (730 nucleotides) under uncultured bacterium. RNAcentral describes it as "bacterial SSU rRNA". It matches the Rfam family "Bacterial small subunit ribosomal RNA", at positions 9 to 734 of the family's 1533-position model. The record is from RNAcentral.
GAGUUUGAUCCUGGCUCAGAUUGAACGCUGGCGGCAGGCCUAACACAUGCAAGUCGAGCGGAUGAAGAGAGCUUGCUCUCUGAUUCAGCGGCGGACGGGUGAGUAAUGCCUAGGAAUCUGCCUGGUAGUGGGGGACAACGUCUCGAAAGGGACGCUAAUACCGCAUACGUCCUACGGGAGAAAGCAGGGGACCUUCGGGCCUUGCGCUAUCAGAUGAGCCUAGGUCGGAUUAGCUAGUUGGUGAGGUAAUGGCUCACCAAGGCGACGAUCCGUAACUGGUCUGAGAGGAUGAUCAGUCACACUGGAACUGAGACACGGUCCAGACUCCUACGGGAGGCAGCAGUGGGGAAUAUUGGACAAUGGGCGAAAGCCUGAUCCAGCCAUGCCGCGUGUGUGAAGAAGGUCUUCGGAUUGUAAAGCACUUUAAGUUGGGAGGAAGGGUUGUAGAUUAAUACUCUGCAAUUUUGACGUUACCGACAGAAUAAGCACCGGCUAACUCUGUGCCAGCAGCCGCGGUAAUACAGAGGGUGCAAGCGUUAAUCGGAAUUACUGGGCGUAAAGCGCGCGUAGGUGGUUUGUUAAGUUGGAUGUGAAAGCCCCGGGCUCAACCUGGGAACUGCAUUCAAAACUGACAAGCUAGAGUAUGGUAGAGGGUGGUGGAAUUUCCUGUGUAGCGGUGAAAUGCGUAUAUAUAGGAAGGAACACCAGUGGCGAAGGCGACCACCUGGAC